This 498-nucleotide ribosomal RNA is filed under the name uncultured bacterium. Its description in RNAcentral is "bacterial SSU rRNA". It matches the Rfam family "Bacterial small subunit ribosomal RNA", at positions 20 to 513 of the family's 1533-position model. The record is from RNAcentral.
UGGCUCAGAUUGAACGCUGGCGGCAGGCCUAACACAUGCAAGUCGAGCGGUAGAGAGAAGCUUGCUUCUCUUGAGAGCGGCGGACGGGUGAGUAAUACCUGGGAAUCUGCCUGAUAGUGGGGGAUAACGUCCGGAAACGGGCGCUAAUACCGCGUACGUCCUACGGGAGAAAGCAGGGGAUCUUCGGACCUUGCGCUAUCAGAUGAGCCCAGGUCGGAUUAGCUAGUAGGUGUGGUAAUGGCUCACCUAGGCAACGAUCCGUAACUGGUCUGAGAGGAUGAUCAGUCACACUGGAACUGAGACACGGUCCAGACUCCUACGGGAGGCAGCAGUGGGGAAUAUUGGACAAUGGGCGCAAGCCUGAUCCAGCCAUGCCGCGUGUGUGAAGAAGGUCUUCGGAUUGUAAAGCACUUUAAGUUGGGAGGAAGGGUUGUUGCUUAAUACGUAGCAACUUUGACGUUACCGACAGAAUAAGCACCGGCUAACUCUGUGCCAGCA